CAUGCACCAGUGGGGUCCCUCAGCCUGGCCUGCGGGAUUGGGCUGAAAUUGGCUCUCUGACAUCCCCCAAAGGGUCCAAAUUGCAAGAGGGCGCAGGCCAGGCCGAGGGACCCCACCGGUGCACA
Myotis davidii is the source of this 125-nucleotide non-coding RNA. The record is from Rfam. Lineage: Eukaryota; Metazoa; Chordata; Mammalia; Chiroptera; Vespertilionidae.